UGGGGAAUAUUGCACAAUGGGCGCAAGCCUGAUGCAGCCAUGCCGCGUGUAUGAAGAAGGCCUUCGGGUUGUAAAGUACUUUCAGCGGGGAGGAAGGGAGUAAAGUUAAUACCUUUGCUCAUUGACGUUACCCGCAGAAGAAGCACCGGCUAACUCCGUGCCAGCAGCCGCGGUAAUACGGAGGGUGCAAGCGUUAAUCGGAAUUACUGGGCGUAAAGCGCACGCGGGCGGUUUGUUAAGUCAGAUGUGAAAUCCCCGGGCUCAACCUGGGAACUGCAUCUGAUACUGGCAAGCUUGAGUCUCGUAGAGGGGGGUAGAAUUCCAGGUGUAGCGGUGAAAUGCGUAGAGAUCUGGAGGAAUACCGGUGGCGAAGGCGGCCCCCUGGACGAAGACUGACGCUCAGGUGCGAAAGCGUGGGGAGCAAACAGG
This 429-nucleotide ribosomal RNA is filed under the name Chloroflexota bacterium. RNAcentral describes it as "Chloroflexi bacterium partial 16S ribosomal RNA". It matches the Rfam family "Bacterial small subunit ribosomal RNA", at positions 355 to 776 of the family's 1533-position model. Lineage: Bacteria; Bacillati; Chloroflexota. The record is from RNAcentral.